This is a long non-coding RNA of Bos grunniens (domestic yak), 646 nucleotides long. Lineage: Eukaryota; Metazoa; Chordata; Mammalia; Artiodactyla; Bovidae. The record is from Ensembl.
AUGCUCACUUCCUGGGGAGCCUCAACUACUUCUUCAUGUGGGCCCUCGAUUCUACAUGUUCAGAUCUGGCCUUUCUCCUGGGGUUCAUCAGACCUUUCUAACUCCAGGUGUUUCAACUACAUGGAAGAUGUGAAGAAUUCUGAGAAAACAGAGUCCCAUCAUCUGCAAAAUGAUGUUUCAUCAGCCUGGAGUUUUAUUUCUCUGCAAAAACUCUUAAGUCCCUGGAGCUGUUUUAAUCUUGCCUCAUUAAAAGUUAAUAUAAUUUGGAUUGGUGCUAUUCAUUUUGUAUCUGGACACCUCAUUUACCCAGCUCAGGCUGGGUUUCUGUACACCAAGCCCAUGUGGAAGUGCAUGUAUCCACCUUACCUUCAUUCAAGUUGCAGGCCCAGAUGGGAGUAAUCAAUAGCUGAUCGUUGAUAAAUGGUUAUCAUUACAGAGAAUACAGAUUCAAAUGUCAGCCAAAGAAUGGAUGCCAGCUAUUUGUUGUUACAUAAUUCAGGAAUGUCAGGAGGUAACACAGAGAGAUUGCUAUGCUGCGUUCAUUACCCAGCCCAGGGGAGGAGUGUUAAACAUUAAUAUUUGAGCUCUGAAAGUAUCAGAAACUUGAUGGCCAGGAAAACUUUGUAAAGGAAUGGGAGGAAGCUUA